RNAcentral lists this ribosomal RNA (900 nucleotides) under uncultured Geobacter sp. Its description in RNAcentral is "bacterial SSU rRNA". It matches the Rfam family "Bacterial small subunit ribosomal RNA", at positions 601 to 1501 of the family's 1533-position model. The record is from RNAcentral. Lineage: Bacteria; Pseudomonadati; Thermodesulfobacteriota; Desulfuromonadia; Geobacterales; Geobacteraceae.
CCCCGGGCUUAACCUGGGAACUGCGCUUGUGACUGGCAGGCUAGAGUACGGCAGAGGGGGGUGGAAUUCCACGUGUAGCAGUGAAAUGCGUAGAGAUGUGGAGGAACACCGAUGGCGAAGGCAGCCCCCUGGGCCUGUACUGACGCUCAUGCACGAAAGCGUGGGGGGCAAACAGGAUUAGAUACCCUGGUAGUCCACGCCCUAAACGAUGUCGACUAGUUGUUCGUAGAGGUAACUCUGUGAGUAACGCAGCUAACGCGUGAAGUCGACCGCCUGGGGAGUACGGCCGCAAGGUUAAAACUCAAAGGAAUUGACGGGGACCCGCACAAGCGGUGGAUGAUGUGGAUUAAUUCGAUGCAACGCGAAAAACCUUACCUACCCUUGACAUGCCUGGAACCUUGGUGAGAGCCGAGGGUGCCUUCGGGAACCAGGACACAGGUGCUGCAUGGCUGUCGUCAGCUCGUGUCGUGAGAUGUUGGGUUAAGUCCCGCAACGAGCGCAACCCUUGCCAUUAAUUGCCAUCAUUUAGUUGGGCACUUUAAUGGGACUGCCGGUGACAAACCGGAGGAAGGUGGGGAUGACGUCAAGUCCUCAUGGCCCUUAUGGGUAGGGCUUCACACGUCAUACAAUGGUCGGUACAGAGGGUUGCCAAGCCGCGAGGUGGAGCUAAUCCCUUAAAGCCGAUCGUAGUCCGGAUUGCAGUCUGCAACUCGACUGCAUGAAGUCGGAAUCGCUAGUAAUCGCAGAUCAGCAUGCUGCGGCGAAUACGUUCCCGGGUCUUGUACACACCGCCCGUCACACCAUGGGAGUGGGUUUCACCAGAAGUAGGUAGCUUAACCUUCGGGAGGGCGCUUACCACGGUGAGAUUCAUGACUGGGGUGAAGUCGUAACAAGGUAACC